AUCUGAAGUGGGACGUCUAGUCCUUUUUAACAUUGCCUUGAAAGCAGGCUAAGUGUUCAGGAAUCAAAGAAAGCCCUGCAAGACUAGUGCCAGGGUUCCUUCUCCGUCCAAGGACAGUGCUUUGGUGAUCUUGGCGAGAGCUGGAUGGUAGACAAGACAUUUCUAGGGGGCUGAGAAGCUACUGGAUCUUUGGUUUUCCUGCCCAUGACCAAGGGUGUGAGACUCUUCACACUCUCCCAGGAUUUGACCAGGAUGCACUUUGGAAAGAUGUGCCAUGUUCAGUUAUACAUGGGACCGUGCAAGAGAUGCUUUACUGAGGAGAGCCCUGUAGCACCUCUUCCUGGAAGUGUGGUUCCCUGGUGAAGUUCACUGGGGAUGAUUCCGGCUUGAUUCAACCCAGUGCCUGCAAAUCCUGUUCUGGAAAUACCUUGGAAGAGAAGACAGAAGGAAGGUAAGAGCUGGAGGGUGAAGACGAAGGAUGUGAAAUUCCAUUUUCUGGACAUGACACGGCUGUCGGAAUCAUGAACUCGUGGCAGCUGUGGCUACCUGAACAAGGUCUACACAAGGUGAGGCCAGCUGAAGUCCUGCCUCACCUGCCUGGGUAGGUGAUCUCCAGGCCCCACUCCAUGCUGAGGAGCUUUUGGUAGUGGGUAUUUCCUGGACAAAUACCUUUAUUGAGGGUAUGGCCACCUGUAGUUUUCCAUGCUCCAGUGGAUGUUCCCAAAUCCAUGCAGACAGCAUUAACUGGACUUAGUGGGUUAUUAAAAAAAAAAAGGUAUGAAUUUGGGUCAUGUUGGGAUACAUAAGAGGAUUAGAGGGAGAGACAUGGAUAUGAUUGUAUUUCAUUGGCUAUGUGUAUGAAAG
This 864-nucleotide long non-coding RNA is filed under the name Cricetulus griseus (Chinese hamster). RNAcentral's name for it is "lncRNA (ENSCGRG00015035636.1)". The record is from RNAcentral. Lineage: Eukaryota; Metazoa; Chordata; Mammalia; Rodentia; Cricetidae.